GACGAACGCUGGCGGCGUGCCUAAUACAUGCAAGUAGAACGCUGAAGGAGGAGCUUACUUCUCUGGAUGAGUUGCGAACGGGUGAGUAACGCGUAGGUAACCUGCCUGGUAGCGGGGGAUAACUAUUGGAAACGAUAGCUAAUACCGCAUAAGAGUAGAUGUUGCAUGACAUUUACUUAAAAGGUGCAAUUGCACCACUACCAGAUGGACCUGCGUUGUAUUAGCUAGUUGGUGGGGUAACGGCUUACCAAGGCGACGAUACAUAGCCGACCCGAGGGGGUGAUCGGCCACACUGGGACUGAGACACGGCCCAGACUCCUACGGGAGGCAGCAGUAGGGAAUCUUCGGCAAUGGACGGAAGUCUGACCGAGCAACGCCACGUGAGUGAAGAAGGUUUUCGGAUCGUAAAGCUCUGUUGUAAGAGAAGAACGAGUGUGAGAGUGGAAAGUUCACACUGUGACGGUAUCUUACCAGAAAGGGACGGCUAACUACGUGCCAGCCGCCGCAGUAA
Molecule: ribosomal RNA, 511 nt
Filed under: uncultured bacterium
Lineage: Bacteria
Description: partial 16S ribosomal RNA
Rfam family: Bacterial small subunit ribosomal RNA
Source: RNAcentral